AAGUCGUAACAAGGUUUCCGUAGGUGAACCUGCGGAAGGAUCAUUACCGAGAUAGGGUCCUUCGGGGCCCGACCUCCAACCCUUUGUCUACCUUACCACUGUUGCCUCGGCGGGUCGCCGGCGCCCUUUACCGGGCGCCGCCGUCGGCCUCUGCGCUCUCGAGUGCCCGCCGCCAGGCCCAUCUAAACCCUUUUUAAUCGAGAAUUCUGAGCGUAUAUUUAAUACUUUAAAA
RNAcentral lists this unclassified non-coding RNA (232 nucleotides) under plant metagenome. Its description in RNAcentral is "partial contains small subunit ribosomal RNA and internal transcribed spacer 1". The stretch from base 1 to 46 matches the Rfam family "Eukaryotic small subunit ribosomal RNA", at positions 1786 to 1831 of the family's 1831-position model. The record is from RNAcentral.